Bombus pascuorum is the source of this 4104-nucleotide long non-coding RNA. RefSeq lists it as uncharacterized. NCBI's taxonomy places the organism in Eukaryota, Metazoa, Arthropoda, Insecta, Hymenoptera, Apidae. The transcript has 3 exons. The record is from RefSeq and is a predicted model, not a curated record.
UCAGCCCAGAGUGGUCGGAAAUGUCUAACGCGUGGUUAAAGCUCCGCUUUAAAACCUACGAAAAAUAAUGAUCGGUGCUUACCUUAAAUAGGAACCGACAUGGCAGGUACGGUUCGUGUUGCCGUGCCCCGAAUAUCUGCAAACAGAACGCAAAAGAUCAACAUCGCGAAUAAAUAGAGAAGUACACAGACUACGAGAAUCUGGAAAAUGUCAAGCGAGGUAGCAAAUUGACUUUCGCGAAGCUGAAAUUGCUACGAAACCAGGUCGUUUCAGCGCCUAGUUCCUUUAAAAUUUCCAAGCUACGAAAACUGUCCGAGUAUAACGAUACUUUUACAUGAAAACGAAUCUAAACGAAUACAAACGUAAUUAAAAAAACCAGGAGCGAGUGAAUAUUACCAUCAGGCACCCAAAAGAUUCUAUCCGCUGCUGGUUACAGUAUGGAUUCCCAGAUCCUCAAUAAGAAGCGAGUUACACAGCGAACAAGAAUCUUCUUCAACGUGAUAUUUCACCGUGCCUCUACGUAACAACGUCUUCGAGUAGCGACCACUUUCAAACGGACAGAAUUAACGCAUCCAGUUGACAACAACGUCAAGAGGGAACAACAUGGCAGCAAGUAAUAAUAAUUGGCGGAAGCGAAGAGACAGAGAGGAGAAUUUGAAAGCCGACGCCCAACGUUAAUCCCGUUUCAGUGGAAAGAAAGGCGCAUCGGGAAAUGAGAAAAGUCGGGAGAGGAAGCAAUUGCGACUGGUUUUUCGCGGUAUUCGUGAUUAUUCGGUGGAAAGGAACAAAAGAAGAGGCAAUACCGGCGGAUGAUGCGCCAUGGCACAAGGCCCGUGUGCCAUUCGUUUCUCCGUGCCUGUGCAUCGUUCCUCUUGUUGCGCUAGAACGGUUGACAUAUUUCUUUUAGCGGUACAGAGAGACGAGAAGAGAAGCCUAGCAGACGUUUCUCCUCCAUUCUUCUUCUAUUCCUUUGGCCUAGCAACGCCAGUCAUUACCAACGCCGCCAUCAACCACACGCUGUCAUUGUCUGGACGCACUUUGUCGAUGCACGCGACAACGCUCGUUUGAAACGCGACUUUAAUUGCGUAACACCCGGCCGUCUGUCCGUUUUCACAGCGAAACGAAUUAAGACAACGAUCACGUGUACCCCAUCGUUCACCGAGAACAGUUUUCAUGCCAUUCGUGACGCUCUGAAAUAGUUCAUCUCUGUCCGAGGCAAAUUGGAAAGCAAAGGAACGAACUUGUUGCGCUUUGUUUCAUUUUACAGUGGAUUUGUCGAGACUGCUUUAUAGAAAACGAUAAAAGAUAAUGCGAUGCAUCGAUCGCUUGCAAUAAAAAAGACAUCGCGUAAUAUAUGUACUUGGCAAUACUCGUGCGCGUAUUUAUAAUUCAACUUCUGAUAUUCUCGGGUAUUUAUUUUAUAUGUGUAUAUAUGUGUGUAUGAAAAUAUAGUAAUAUAGGUAUAAUCGCACUGUAGCACGUUCAUUAUUUUAUAAAACGUUCGUUCUUUUAGGGAAACCGAUGCAGAACGAAAAACAGAAAGUAAUUAUUAUACGAAUGUGCAUUGAGAGCCGUGUGACCCAGAAAUACAAAUAUUAAAUCAAAGUUGAAAAACCACUUACUAAUUGACGACUAAAGUGUAAAACACGUGCCGGAGAGAUUAAAGCGAACAAUAUGCUAAAAAGAAUAUGUAUGGUAUAAAGAAAAUGAAAACCAGUUUUUGUUCAUAUACCUCGUAAAAGACCAUUUUAAAAAAUUCUUAAAAAUACAUCGUGGCGAAUGUAGGAAAUUUCCAAGAAGAAUUAUAAAUCGGUCACUUUGACUACUCUGUUAGUUCUAACAAUAUCAGGUUCAUUUACCGCGAAACCCUAACUGCUCGUUCGCGUUCAACGAUAUUUCACGAGGGCGCUCACGCCCCUUCUUCCACUUCAGCUUGCUUGGACGUUUUCAGAGAUUUACAGAAACGCAUGGCGUCGAUUCGGACGAACGUGAGUCACCGCCUCGAUGCAGCGUGCAUACGCAUCUUGGAAAGAAAGAGUCAUUUAGGAAAUUGACCGACAGAUCGAUAAGUAAGACGAUCUCUAGGGAGCAACGAGGAAGGGCGUACUCGUGAUAACAGCAAAUUAAAUUAAAGACCGGUCUAUCGCAGUGUUGCGAUACCAGCAUCGAACCAGCUUACGAAUUUCCAGUCCAUAUUGGCUAAGAUUAAAUUUCUUUGUAAAAUACUGUGUGAAAUACUGCCAAAACUCUUCUUCUCUUCGCUCCACUAUCAGAAUCUGUAUACGUCGAGAUACAAACUUGGCUCAAAUUAUUUUAUCCUUGUACAAAGAAGCUAAAUUAUUAGCUACAACGUUUUUCCUAAUAAUCCAUUGGCAAUAUUUUUUAACGAUUUAGACGAAGAUUGAAAUUAUUUUGUUAAAUUACGUAUCUUAUCUCGACAAUUAGUUGCUACGGAUUUUGUGCUCGAAUUUAAAGAAGGCCAAGCUGCGUGAUCGAAAUUCACGUCUGUAGAUCAAAUCUGACCACCUGCCUCUAAAACUCGACAUAACAUGUACGUGCAUAUUUACACCUUGCAACGAAGAAUCGUAUUUCAACCUGCAUCCAGCAUACUCCUCGCUCUUAUUUAUUUUUACAAGCUUCGUUUAUUUUUACGAAUAAACAGCUGAUCUGUAAAAAUUGUAUUUGUCUUCCUUCGGCUCGUUACAAUACGAAAAAUACCAAUCCUUGAACAAAGCAUCCAUUUAUCUUUCGAUCUGACAAUUCAAAUAUCUUAGAUCUUCCCUUGAGAUUCGAGGUUCGACCGUGCUUACAAGUAGAUGUCGAAUUGUUUGAGUAUCGUUAAUACCUCUUGACACGAGGUACGUUGACCUCCGAUCGAAUAACACGCGGCCAAGAAUUAUCUUCGGAUUAUUCCCGGCAAACGAAACGAGUAACGCAGCGUAGCCCGCUGCGAAGUCGAAAUAAAUUUGACCUGUCAGAAAUUCGAAGAACGUUCCAUCGACGAACGGUUAGAUAAUAGAGGGAGACACCGAAUCGGAUAAUCGAAAUUUAUCGUUGGAGUGUAGGUACCGGAAACGCUAGUAUCCGAAUGAUCGCGUCUUUAGCGAUGCUAGACACGGCUCAAAAGUCUCAGGCGAUGGUCUCUUUUCAAAUCGAAUUCAAGCAUUCGAUGGACCGCCCACGUACCAGUCUCGAGGACCACGAUUUUAUGUAAAUCGCUGUGCCACCCACGAUCCAACGAAUCCCGACAGAUUCAACGAGAGCUCGAGGCACCGUCUUUUGAAAUCUAAACGAAUAAAGACUACAGAAGAAGAAUAUGUACGUGAUAAAUCACAUUUUCUACAUCUUAGGAAAAAAGCAAUUUUAAAGCUCGGUAGUACGUUGGGUAUCGAUCAACGUCAUCGUUAUUAAAAUUAUCUUUUCACGCUUUACAUCGUCGAGUUCAUCUAAAUUUCAUUUAUCAGUACAUAGAGAUUAUUUUAUACCGCGUUCGAAGAAUCUUCCGAUUUCGAAAUUGAUAAGUUUUGUCUAAAUCGUCGUGCGAUGUUCGAAUCGAAUCGAUAAGAUCGUUGGAACUUUCUUACAAAUUGAGCGUCUUCUUAAAGAUGCCGUAUCGACCGUAUCAGAGGUCAAACUAAUUAAAAGUUGCAGGCCGAGUCGAGGGAGAGAGUUCGCUUCUGGAACGGUUCACUCGCGAAUAAAGGAAACGGCCAGUCGGCCCGUGAGUCACGUUUAUUGUUCAUCGUUUAGCAACCCACGACGCCUUUCUCCGUUUGAAUUAACGGCUCCCCGGCUUUUCGUUGUCCGUAAAGGAAAUGAACAGCCACUUGUGCAAACGUUACACACGUUCUGCAAACGUGCUGCUUGCAUUAAUAUUUGGAGAGGAAACGUUCCAAUCUUCUUCUCAUAGAAACUAAACAAUUUCUGGUGGGUUUAACGCGGAGAGAAAGACCCUGCUUUGCACGUUUUUUGCAUUUACAGCUUCUUAUAAGUUAUCAUAACGCAGAUUCCAAAAUCACGAUAGAUAUGAUAAUUCAGUGCGAUCAAUUUUGGAAUGUUAGCUUAUUUCCUGGCUACCGAAACCCUGUAACAUACCUUCGAAAA